CACAACUGUACAUCCUCCUGGGAAGCCGGAAAGGAGGAGGACUUGGAGCAGCAGGGCGUGGAUCUUAGCAGAGUGGAGCGGAGAUGGGAGAGGAAAUGUCUUCCCGUCAUUGUUCUGAUGGAAGAUGGGGAAGGUUGCCCGUGGCUCAGCAGGUAGACGUCAUUAACAGGGAGAGAAGUCCCCACCAGAGCUCGCCAACGGCCAAGUGUUACUCAUUCACCCGGCAAGAGUUCUGACAGGAGAGUCCAGUACACAGAUUGCGUUGUCCCUAUAGCAGCACAGAGAAAACCUAGAGACUCCUGGAGAAGGAAGAUGCACAAUGAGAUGGCCCUCCUCCAAAGGCUGGGGAUGAGAGUAGCACUACCUGUCAUUUUCAAUCCCUCAGAAAUGUGCAGAGGAACACAAAACGUGGGAAACUCAGGUGCAUUCGAAACAAAUGCCCAGAAAACAUUUGUUGCAGGAGAAAGGACUGCCAAGCAGAUGGAUUAAAGGAUGAAUGAAUGCCGGCUUUGGUUGUGUCCCUGUGUGUGGCAGCAAACGCUGAUGGGAGCUGAGACACUAUUUAUGCUAUAGAAUUGGACCAGUUGUGGUCACUGACUCCUGGGCCCUUGCAGGAAAUUUCUGUAGGACUGGCUAUAGGAUCUAAGCAGAAAAUACCAUCUCACCCCUGCUAGAGGUUAUUCCCAGUGCUCCUCCCUAAAAACAACCUGUUGGCCAUUCUGAUGGCAUCGGUAGUGAGGUCUCUGAUGUAUGUUCCAUCUACUAGCUGGUGAGGCUAAGGUAAUAGGAGGAGGCAGAUGAAGUACCAACAUGCUCUCUGGACCACGGAAGAAGCGUCCCAGGAAAGGGAACGACUGAAAUGUGCUACUGUUGGGGGUGUGGGAAAAAAAAAAAAAAAAACAAAAGCUUUGGAAUCUGACAGAUCUGAGCUUGGGGUCUGGGUACACCAUCUACCACCUCUGUGACCUGUUUAGAAGUGUUUAUUCACAUGCUUAUUUGGAGUUGCAAAGAGUCGGACACGACUGAGCGACUGACAGUUUCGUAUCACUGAGCCUCAGUUCUUGCUUCUGUAAAAUUAGAGAAAUAAUAUUUUCCUUCUGGCGUUUCAGUGAGGAUUAAAUAAUAUGAUAUGUGGAAAAUUAUUUUGAGAUGUAUUAGUUGACGUAUAUUCCCAAAUUCCCUCUCUGUCACACACAAAACACACACACACACACACACAUAGCCACACACGUACUUUUUAUCUCAAAGCAAAGCAACUGCAGCCCCAGCCCCCCCCCCCCCGCCCCCGUGUCUUUCUUGUCUGGGUGCGCACAUGGAGGAGACUGUAGAGGUCAAGUUGUGGCCAGGUGGGUCUGGAUGCUGAAGACCCAGGCCAGCCCCCUGAAUCUUCUGUGGAUAAGUGGAUUCUUCUGCCCUAGAAAGAGGUUGGUGGAGAGAGGGCAGGGGCCCCAGAAAUAAUGUGGAGAAAGUGGGGAGAUCUAGAGGGACA
RNAcentral lists this long non-coding RNA (1489 nucleotides) under Bos indicus x Bos taurus (hybrid cattle). RNAcentral's name for it is "lncRNA (ENSBIXG00005011830.1)". Lineage: Eukaryota; Metazoa; Chordata; Mammalia; Artiodactyla; Bovidae. The record is from RNAcentral.